RNAcentral lists this ribosomal RNA (642 nucleotides) under Escherichia coli. RNAcentral describes it as "partial 23S ribosomal RNA". It matches the Rfam family "Bacterial large subunit ribosomal RNA", at positions 609 to 1251 of the family's 2925-position model. Lineage: Bacteria; Pseudomonadati; Pseudomonadota; Gammaproteobacteria; Enterobacterales; Enterobacteriaceae. The record is from RNAcentral.
UGUAUAAUGGGUCAGCGACUUAUAUUCUGUAGCAAGGUUAACCGAAUAGGGGAGCCGAAGGGAAACCGAGUCUUAACUGGGCGUUAAGUUGCAGGGUAUAGACCCGAAACCCGGUGAUCUAGCCAUGGGCAGGUUGAAGGUUGGGUAACACUAACUGGAGGACCGAACCGACUAAUGUUGAAAAAUUAGCGGAUGACUUGUGGCUGGGGGUGAAAGGCCAAUCAAACCGGGAGAUAGCUGGUUCUCCCCGAAAGCUAUUUAGGUAGCGCCUCGUGAAUUCAUCUCCGGGGGUAGAGCACUGUUUCGGCAAGGGGGUCAUCCCGACUUACCAACCCGAUGCAAACUGCGAAUACCGGAGAAUGUUAUCACGGGAGACACACGGCGGGUGCUAACGUCCGUCGUGAAGAGGGAAACAACCCAGACCGCCAGCUAAGGUCCCAAAGUCAUGGUUAAGUGGGAAACGAUGUGGGAAGGCCCAGACAGCCAGGAUGUUGGCUUAGAAGCAGCCAUCAUUUAAAGAAAGCGUAAUAGCUCACUGGUCGAGUCGGCCUGCGCGGAAGAUGUAACGGGGCUAAACCAUGCACCGAAGCUGCGGCAGCGACGCUUAUGCGUUGUUGGGUAGGGGAGCGUUCUGUAAGCCUG